RNAcentral lists this transfer RNA (72 nucleotides) under Laemobothrion maximum. RNAcentral's name for it is "tRNA-Leu". The record is from RNAcentral. Lineage: Eukaryota; Metazoa; Arthropoda; Insecta; Psocodea; Laemobothriidae.
GUUAAGAUGUCAGAUUAAAUGAAUUGAAUUUAAGCUUCAAAAAUGAAAGUAUAAUUAUAUUUUCUCUUAAUA